UACGGAGGAUGCGAGCGUUAUCCGGAUUUAUUGGGUUUAAAGGGUGCGCAGGCGGUCUGUUAAGUCAGCGGUCAAAGCCCGGGGCUCAACCCCGGCGAGCCGUUGAAACUGGCGGGCUGGAGUUGGAGAGAAGUACGCGGAAUGCGCGGUGUAGCGGUGAAAUGCUUAGAUAUCGCGCAGAACGCCGAUUGCGAAGGCAGCUUACCGGCGCUCAACUGACGCUGAGGCACGAAAGUGCGGGUAUCGAACAGG
RNAcentral lists this ribosomal RNA (252 nucleotides) under uncultured Bacteroidales bacterium. RNAcentral describes it as "partial 16S ribosomal RNA". It matches the Rfam family "Bacterial small subunit ribosomal RNA", at positions 524 to 776 of the family's 1533-position model. The record is from RNAcentral. Lineage: Bacteria; Pseudomonadati; Bacteroidota; Bacteroidia; Bacteroidales.